GUCCACGCCCUAAACGAUGCGAACUGGACGUUGGGAGCAAUUAGGCUCUCAGUGUCGAAGCUAACGCGUUAAGUUCGCCGCCUGGGGAGUACGGUCGCAAGACUGAAACUCAAAGGAAUUGACGGGGCCCGCACAAGCGGUGGAGUAUGUGGUUUAAUUCGAUGCAACGCGAAGAACCUUACCUGGCCUUGACAUCCACGGAAUCCUUGAGAGAUCAGGGGAGUGCCUUCGGGAACCGUGAGACAGGUGCUGCAUGGCUGUCGU
This 264-nucleotide ribosomal RNA is filed under the name uncultured bacterium. Its description in RNAcentral is "partial 16S ribosomal RNA". It matches the Rfam family "Bacterial small subunit ribosomal RNA", at positions 793 to 1055 of the family's 1533-position model. The record is from RNAcentral.